This 1030-nucleotide ribosomal RNA is filed under the name Salmonella enterica subsp. enterica serovar Typhimurium. Its description in RNAcentral is "partial 23S ribosomal RNA". It matches the Rfam family "Bacterial large subunit ribosomal RNA", at positions 711 to 1654 of the family's 2925-position model. The record is from RNAcentral. Lineage: Bacteria; Pseudomonadati; Pseudomonadota; Gammaproteobacteria; Enterobacterales; Enterobacteriaceae.
AGACCCGAAACCCGGUGAUCUAGCCAUGGGCAGGUUGAAGGUUGGGUAACACUAACUGGAGGACCGAACCGACUAAUGUUGAAAAAUUAGCGGAUGACCUGUGGCUGGGGGUGAAAGGCCAAUCAAACCGGGAGAUAGCUGGUUCUCCCCGAAAGCUAUUUAGGUAGCGCCUCGUGAAUUCAUCUCCGGGGGUAGAGCACUGUUUCGGCUAGGGGGCCAUCCCGGCUUACCAACCCGAUGCAAACUGCGAAUACCGGAGAAUGUUAUCACGGGAGACACACGGCGGGUGCUAACGUCCGUCGUGAAGAGGGAAACAACCCAGACCGCCAGCUAAGGUCCCAAAGUCAUGGUUAAGUGGGAAACGAUGUGGGAAGGCCCAGACAGCCAGGAUGUUGGCUUAGAAGCAGCCAUCAUUUAAAGAAAGCGUAAUAGCUCACUGGUCGAGUCGGCCUGCGCGGAAGAUGUAACGGGGCUAAACCAUGCACCGAAGCUGCGGCAGCGAACGUAUCACCCAAGACAACUUUACGGAGUUGACGAUUGACGGAGCGAAGCGACGUCAAAGCGUUCAUUAAAGUCGAGUUGGCUUAGGGAUACGUUCGUUGGGUAGGGGAGCGUUCUGUAAGCCUGUGAAGGUGUGUCGUGAGGCAUGCUGGAGGUAUCAGAAGUGCGAAUGCUGACAUAAGUAACGAUAAAGCGGGUGAAAAGCCCGCUCGCCGGAAGACCAAGGGUUCCUGUCCAACGUUAAUCGGGGCAGGGUGAGUCGACCCCUAAGGCGAGGCCGAAAGGCGUAGUCGAUGGGAAACGGGUUAAUAUUCCCGUACUUGGUGUUACUGCGAAGGGGGGACGGAGAAGGCUAUGUUGGCCGGGCGACGGUUGUCCCGGUUUAAGCGUGUAGGUGUGUGUUCCAGGUAAAUCCGGUUCACUUUAACACUGAGGCGUGACGACGAGGCACUACGGUGCUGAAGCAACAAAUGCCCUGCUUCCAGGAAAAGCCUCUAAGCAUCAGGUAACAUCAAAUCGUACCCCAAAC